This 346-nucleotide ribosomal RNA is filed under the name uncultured bacterium. RNAcentral describes it as "bacterial SSU rRNA". It matches the Rfam family "Bacterial small subunit ribosomal RNA", at positions 917 to 1266 of the family's 1533-position model. The record is from RNAcentral.
GGGCCUGCACAAGCGGUGGAGCAUGUGGUUUAAUUCGAUGAUACGCGAGGAACCUUACCAGGGCUUAAAUGUAACGGGACAGAUCUAGAGAUAGAUCCUUCUUCGGACUCAUUACAAGGUGCUGCAUGGUUGUCGUCAGCUCGUGCCGUGAGGUGUCAGGUUAAGUCCUAUAACGAGCGCAACCCCCAUCGUUAGUUGCCAACGAGUAAUGUCGGGAACUCUAACGAAACUGCCGGUGCAAACCGUGAGGAAGGUGGGGGAUGACGUCAAAUCAUCACGGCCCUUACGUCCUGGGCUACACACGUGCUACAAUGGUCGGUACAGAGAGCAGCCACUACGCGUAAGU